UGGGGAAUAUUGCACAAUGGGCGAAAGCCUGAUGCAGCGACGCCGCGUGAGGGAUGACGGCCUUCGGGUUGUAAACCUCUUUCAGCAGGGACGAAGCGCAAGUGACGGUACCUGCAGAAGAAGCACCGGCUAACUACGCGCCAGCAGCCGCGGUAAUACGUAGGGUGCAAGCGUUGUCCGGAAUUACUGGGCGUAAAGAGUUCGUAGGCGGUUUGUCGCGUCGUUUGUGAAAACCAGCAGCUCAACUGCUGGCUUGCAGGCGAGACGGGCAGACUUGAGUACUGCAGGGGAGACUGGAAUUCCUGGUGUAGCGGUGAAAUGCGCAGAUAUCAGGAGGAACACCGGUGGCGAAGGCGGGUCUCUGGGCAGUAACUGACGCUGAGGAACGAAAGCGUGGGUAGCGAACAGG
RNAcentral lists this ribosomal RNA (409 nucleotides) under bacterium. RNAcentral describes it as "partial 16S ribosomal RNA". It matches the Rfam family "Bacterial small subunit ribosomal RNA", at positions 355 to 776 of the family's 1533-position model. The record is from RNAcentral.